CCAUGCAGUCGACGCGAAGGGGAGCAAUCCCUGAGUAGAGUGGCAAACGGGUGAGUAACACGUGGGUGACCUGCCUUCGAGUGGGGGAUAACGUCCCGAAAGGGACGCUAAUACCGCAUGACAUUCUGCUUUUGGAAAAGCGGAAAUCAAAGCCGGGGAUCGCAAGACCUGGCGCUUGAAGAGGGGCCCGCGCCUGAUUAGCUAGUUGGUGGGGUAAUGGCCUACCAAGGCGACGAUCAGUAUCCGGCCUGAGAGGGCGGACGGACACACUGGGACUGAGACACGGCCCAGACUCCUACGGGAGGCAGCAGUGGGGAAUUGUUCGCAAUGGGCGCAAGCCUGACGACGCAACGCCGCGUGGAGGAUGAAGAUCUUCGGGUCGUAAACUCCUGUCGAGUGGGAAGAAUAGUCUCGGGGCGAAUAUCCUCGAGGCCUGACGGUACCACUAAAGGAAGCCCCGGCUAACUCCGUGCCAGCAGCCGCGGUAAUACGGGGGGGGCAAGCGUUGUUCGGAAUUACUGGGCGUAAAGGGCUCGUAUGCUGCCAACUAAGUCGGAUGUGAAAUCCCCAGGCUCAACCUGGGAACUGCAUCCGAUACUGGAUGGCUUGAAUUCGGGAGAGGGAUGCAGAAUUCCAGGUGUAGCGGUGAAAUGCGUAGA
This 659-nucleotide ribosomal RNA is filed under the name uncultured bacterium. RNAcentral describes it as "bacterial SSU rRNA". It matches the Rfam family "Bacterial small subunit ribosomal RNA", at positions 53 to 694 of the family's 1533-position model. The record is from RNAcentral.